GGGUUGUGAGGUUAAGCGACUAAGCGUACACGGUGGAUGCCCUGGCAGUCAGAGGCGAUGAAGGACGUGCUAAUCUGCGAAAAGCGUCGGUAAGGUGAUAUGAACCGUUACAGCCGGCGAUGUCCGAAUGGGGAAACCCAGUGCAAUUCGUUGCACUAUCGUUAACUGAAUACAUAGGUUAACGAGGCGAACCGGGGGAACUGAAACAUCUAAGUACCCCGAGGAAAAGAAAUCAACCGAGAUUCCCCCAGUAGCGGCGAGCGAACGGGGAGCAGCCCAGAGUCUGAAUCAGCUUGUGUGUUAGUGGAACGGUCUGGAAAGUCCGACGGUACAGGGUGAUAGUCCCGUACACCAAAAUGCACAGGUUGUGAACUCGAAGAGUAGGGCGGGACACGUGGUAUCCUGUCUGAAUAUGGGGGGACCAUCCUCCAAGGCUAAAUACUCCUGACUGACCGAUAGUGAACCAGUACCGUGAGGGAAAGGCGAAAAGAACCCCGGCGAGGGGAGUGAAAAAGAACCUGAAACCGUGUACGUACAAGCAGUGGGAGCACCUUCGGGUGUGACUGCGUACCUUUUGUAUAAUGGGUCAGCGACUUAUAUUCUGUAGCAAGGUUAACCGUAUAGGGGAGCCGCAGGGAAACCGAGUCUUAACUGGGCGUUAAGUUGCAGGGUAUAGACCCGAAACCCGGUGAUCUAGCCAUGGGCAGGUUGAAGGUUGGGUAACACUAACUGGAGGACCGAACCGACUAAUGUUGAAAAAUUAGCGGAUGACUUGUGGCUGGGGGUGAAAGGCCAAUCAAACCGGGAGAUAGCUGGUUCUCCCCGAAAGCUAUUUAGGUAGCGCCUCGUGAAUUCAUCUUCGGGGGUAGAGCACUGUUUCGGCUAGGGGGUCAUCCCGACUUACCAACCCGAUGCAAACUACGAAUACCGAAGAAUGUUAUCACGGGAGACACACGGCGGGUGCUAACGUCCGUCGUGAAGAGGGAAACAACCCAGACCGCCAGCUAAGGUCCCAAAGUCACAGUUAAGUGGGAAACGAUGUGGGAAGGCACAGACAGCCAGGAUGUUGGCUUAGAAGCAGCCAUCAUUUAAAGAAAGCGUAAUAGCUCACUGGUCGAGUCGGCCUGCGCGGAAGAUGUAACGGGGCUAAACUGUGCACCGAAGCUGCGGCAGCGACACUAUGUGUUGUUGGGUAGGGGAGCGUUCUGUAAGCCUGCGAAGGUGGCCUGUGAGGGUUGCUGGAGGUAUCAGAAGUGCGAAUGCUGACAUAAGUAACGAUAAUGCGGGUGAAAAGCCCGCACGCCGGAAGACCAAGGGUUCCUGUCCAACGUUAAUCGGGGCAGGGUGAGUCGACCCCUAAGGCGAGGCCGAAAGGCGUAGUCGAUGGGAAACAGGUUAAUAUUCCUGUACUUGGUGUUACUGCGAAGGGGGGACGGAGAAGGCUAUGUUAGCCGGGCGACGGUUGUCCCGGUUUAAGCAUGUAGGCGGAGGUUCCAGGUAAAUCCGGUACCUUUUAACGCUGAGGUGUGAUGACGAGGCACUACGGUGCUGAAGUAACAAAUGCCCUGCUUCCAGGAAAAGCCUCUAAGCAUCAGGUAACAUUAAAUCGUACCCCAAACCGACACAGGUGGUCAGGUAGAGAAUACCAAGGCGCUUGAGAGAACUCGGGUGAAGGAACUAGGCAAAAUGGUGCCGUAACUUCGGGAGAAGGCACGCUGAUAUGUAGGUGAAGCCCCUGCGGGUGGAGCUGAAAUCAGUCGAAGAUACCAGCUGGCUGCAACUGUUUAUUAAAAACACAGCACUGUGCAAACACGAAAGUGGACGUAUACGGUGUGACGCCUGCCCGGUGCCGGAAGGUUAAUUGAUGGGGUUAUCCGUAAGGAGAAGCUCUUGAUCGAAGCCCCGGUAAACGGCGGCCGUAACUAUAACGGUCCUAAGGUAGCGAAAUUCCUUGUCGGGUAAGUUCCGACCUGCACGAAUGGCGUAAUGAUGGCCAGGCUGUCUCCACCCGAGACUCAGUGAAAUUGAACUCGCUGUGAAGAUGCAGUGUACCCGCGGCAAGACGGAAAGACCCCGUGAACCUUUACUAUAGCUUGACACUGAACAUUGAGCCUUGAUGUGUAGGAUAGGUGGGAGGCUUUGAAGCGUGGACGCCAGUCUGCGUGGAGCCAACCUUGAAAUACCACCCUUUAAUGUUUGAUGUUCUAACGUUGGCCCCUAAUCGGGGUUGCGGACAGUGUCUGGUGGGUAGUUUGACUGGGGCGGUCUCCUCCCAAAGAGUAACGGAGGAGCACGAAGGUUAGCUAAUCCUGGUCGGACAUCAGGAGGUUAGUGCAAUGGCAUAAGCUAGCUUGACUGCGAGCGUGACGGCGCGAGCAGGUGCGAAAGCAGGUCAUAGUGAUCCGGUGGUUCUGAAUGGAAGGGCCAUCGCUCAACGGAUAAAAGGUACUCCGGGGAUAACAGGCUGAUACCGCCCAAGAGUUCAUAUCGACGGCGGUGUUUGGCACCUCGAUGUCGGCUCAUCACAUCCUGGGGCUGAAGUAGGUCCCAAGGGUAUGGCUGUUCGCCAUUUAAAGUGGUACGCGAGCUGGGUUUAGAACGUCGUGAGACAGUUCGGUCCCUAUCUGCCGUGGGCGCUGGAGAAUUGAGGGGGGCUGCUCCUAGUACGAGAGGACCGGAGUGGACGCAUCACUGGUGUUCGGGUUGUCAUGCCAAUGGCAUUGCCCGGUAGCUAAAUGCGGAAGAGAUAAGUGCUGAAAGCAUCUAAGCACGAAACUUGCCCCGAGAUGAGUUCUCCCUGAGACUUAAAGUCUCCUGAAGGAACGUUAAAGACGAUGACGUUGAUAGGUCGGGUGUGUAAGCGUAGCGAUACGUUGAGCUAACCGAUACUAAUGAACCGUGAGGCUUAACCUUACAACGCCGAAGGUGUUU
Molecule: ribosomal RNA, 2931 nt
Filed under: Klebsiella aerogenes
Lineage: Bacteria; Pseudomonadati; Pseudomonadota; Gammaproteobacteria; Enterobacterales; Enterobacteriaceae
Description: bacterial LSU rRNA
Rfam family: Bacterial large subunit ribosomal RNA
Source: RNAcentral